This is a long non-coding RNA of Triticum dicoccoides, 264 nucleotides long. RefSeq lists it as uncharacterized. The transcript is spliced from 3 exons. NCBI's taxonomy places the organism in Eukaryota, Viridiplantae, Streptophyta, Magnoliopsida, Poales, Poaceae. The record is from RefSeq and is a predicted model, not a curated record.
UGAAGGUCCUUUUUGUGUAUGCCUACAAGUUGUUCGAUAAAAAUCCAAGCAGGUUGUAGGAGAAGGUAUGCUUAGUAACGUCAAAGAGAUGCCGCCAAUUACAAAUUAUGAUAUUCAUCAUUACACAUUAGCACCACCAUGGAUAGCCAAGAUCCUUCCCAGCCAUGAUAAUCAGAGUGAACUUUGCUGUCAUUUUCGUCUAUCCAUCCAGAGGAAGUAGAUGAUUGAUAGAGAUUCGGAGGAAGCAAUUAAUAAAUGAAGAUC